Molecule: ribosomal RNA, 880 nt
Filed under: uncultured bacterium
Lineage: Bacteria
Description: bacterial SSU rRNA
Rfam family: Bacterial small subunit ribosomal RNA
Source: RNAcentral
GCUCAGGAUGAACGCUGGCGGCGUGCUUAACACAUGCAAGUCGAACGAUUAAAGCCCCUUUCGGGGGUGUAUAGAGUGGCGAACGGGUGAGUAACACGUGGGCAAUCCGCCCCUCACUUCGGGAUAACUCAGGGAAACGUGAGCUAAUACCGGAUACUCCGAUAAGGUCGCAUGGCCUAUUCGGGAAAGUUCCGGCGGUGAGGGAUGAGCCCGCGGCCCAUUAGCUUGUUGGUGAGGUAACGGCUCACCAAGGCGACGAUGGGUAGCCGAGCUGAGAGGCUGAUCGGCCACACUGGGACUGAGACACGGCCCAGACUCCUACGGGAGGCAGCAGUGGGGAAUCUUGCGCAAUGGGCGAAAGCCUGACGCAGCAACGCCGCGUGCGGGAUGAAGGCCUUCGGGUUGUAAACCGCUUUCAGCAGGGAUGAAAAUGACAGUACCUGCAGAAGAAGCCCCGGCUAACUACGUGCCAGCAGCCGCGGUAAUACGUAGGGGGCAAGCGUUAUCCGGAUUCAUCGGGCGUAAAGCGCGCGUAGGCGGCUUGUUAAGCGAGAUGUGAAAACCGGGGGCUCAACCCGCGGCCUGCAUCUCGAACUGGCAGGCUUGAGUCUGGUAGAGGAAAGUGGAAUUCCCAGUGUAGCGGUGAAAUGCGCAGAUAUUGGGAGGAACACCAGUGGCGAAGGCGGCUUUCUGGGCCACGACUGACGCUGAGGCGCGAAAGCUAGGGGAGCAAACAGGAUUAGAUACCCUGGUAGUCCUAGCCGUAAACGAUGGGCACUAGGUGUGGGGGGUUAUCAACUCCCUCCGUGCCGCAGCUAACGCAUUAAGUGCCCCGCCUGGGGAGUACGGCCGCAAGGCUAAAACUCAAAUGAAUUGACGG